GAUGAACGCUGGCGGCGUGCCUAAUACAUGCAAGUCGAGCGAACAGACGAGGAGCUUGCUCCUCUGACGUUAGCGGCGGACGGGUGAGUAACACGUGGAUAACCUACCUAUAAGACUGGGAUAACUUCGGGAAACCGGAGCUAAUACCGGAUAACAUGUUGAACCGCAUGGUUCAACAGUGAAAGACGGUCUUGCUGUCACUUAUAGAUGGAUCCGCGCCGCAUUAGCUAGUUGGUAAGGUAACGGCUUACCAAGGCAACGAUGCGUAGCCGACCUGAGAGGGUGAUCGGCCACACUGGAACUGAGACACGGUCCAAACUCCUACGGGAGGCAGCAGUAGGGAAUCUUCCGCAAUGGGCGAAAGCCUGACGGAGCAACGCCGCGUGAGUGAAGAAGGUCUUCGGAUCGUAAAACUCUGUUAUUAGGGAAGAACAAAUGUGUAAGUAACUAUGCACGUCUGGACGGUACCUAAUCAGAAAGCCACGGCUAACUACGU
RNAcentral lists this ribosomal RNA (496 nucleotides) under uncultured bacterium. RNAcentral describes it as "partial 16S ribosomal RNA". It matches the Rfam family "Bacterial small subunit ribosomal RNA", at positions 28 to 506 of the family's 1533-position model. The record is from RNAcentral.